Molecule: ribosomal RNA, 253 nt
Filed under: uncultured bacterium
Lineage: Bacteria
Description: partial 16S ribosomal RNA
Rfam family: Bacterial small subunit ribosomal RNA
Source: RNAcentral
UACGGAGGGUGCGAGCGUUGUCCGGAAUCAUUGGGCGUAAAGGGCGCGUAGGUGGCGGGACAAGCGUGCGGUGAAAGCUCGGGGCUCAACCCCGCGUCGGCCGUGCGAACUGUUUUGCUUGAGCACUGUAGAGGCAGGCGGAAUUCCGGGUGUAGCGGUGGAAUGCGUGGAGAUCCGGAAGAACACCGGUGGCGAAGGCGGCCUGCUGGGCUAUGGCUGACACUGAGGCGCGACAGCGUGGGGAGCAAACAGG